RNAcentral lists this long non-coding RNA (222 nucleotides) under Elaeis guineensis (African oil palm). RNAcentral's name for it is "long non-coding RNA (EGUI_LNC039560)". The record is from RNAcentral. Lineage: Eukaryota; Viridiplantae; Streptophyta; Magnoliopsida; Arecales; Arecaceae.
CGAAAGAAUGAUCUUUAUCACAUAGCUGCAUUCCAAACUCUCUCUUUCAUCUGCCUAUAGCGGCAAUUGCGCGAUUCAACGAUGUAUAUCUUGCCGUAUUACCCAUGAACCUUUGUAACUACAAAACUAUUGAGUUUGGUGAAUCAGGCCUUCCUUGUCUCUUUCCACAAAAGAAAAAAAACUGAGCAAGCGUUUUCUUUCCUUAAAUUUCAAGAACCAAGA